AUCGCGAGAUCAGGAAGGUGGCCGAGUGUUUCGCCGCGGCCAUCAGGCACUUCUCCUUCCUGCCAUUGUAUGAAGAAGGAUGUGUUUGCUUCCCCUUGUGCCAUGAUUGUAAGUUUCCUGAGGCCUCCUCAGCCCUGCGGAACUGGGGUUAUAGCCAUAUGACUGAUCUUUGUCCAAGAAUAUGUAAAGCAAAAGUGUUGAGUUGGCUUUUAGGGCUAGAGCAAUGUAUCUUAGGCUCACUUAAGGAAGCUGUAGAGAUGAGCCCAAGGAGGGAAACCAGAAGAGCCCCCCAGGCUCGCCAGUUGUUUGUUGGCUCCCUACAAACAUGUCAUUCAAGUGGCUAAUCUUACAACAGCACAAAUUCAUCUAACCAGAAAGAGAAGAGGAGGCUCCAAAGGCACUUGACUACUGAGCAUCACCCUGGACGUGUACAAGUCUGCGUCCUUAUUGUUUUCUUCAUUGGGCCGAACUUUCUGGUCCUCAUCCAACAGCUCUUCUAUCACGUGUUCGAAAGUGUCAGCCAACGAUGUCAAGCCUCUUGAACCUGCCUUGGGCCCAUUCACGCUCUCCAGAGUCCCAUGGGUCCGCACACCUGGAGAUACUCUAUUAUAGCAAAGAAGAAAGAUAAUUUCAUUGAGCCAUCCUGUUUUACAGUAUUGAAUUAUUACCACAAGGUACCAACCAUAUAUGCAUACUUAAUAGGGUAUUUUGUCAAAACUAUGCAUGAAGGUCAUUUGUUUGAGAUGUCAGAACAUUUUCCCGUGAGAAGAUCUCAUUGGGCAUUGAAACAGAACCACAUGCUUUUCAGACCAGCAACCGCGACUACCAAAUACUCCUCUGUCAACUCUACUUGAGUAAGAAUGCUUUCAAUUAAGGCCUAAGUGUCAACAUGCCUUUAAAAAAAUCGUGGUGACAUAAAAUCUUUCUUUUUGGCACCCAACAGAAUCCCUUCAAAGCCUGGUGGUCUGACACCCUAUGCUACGUGACUCGUGACCCAUCCAUUUGUCAUGUUGUUUGGGAAUGUGGCUAAGGGGCUGAGAUGUGACUUGAAAAGAAAGGUAGAACCAGAUCAUCUCAAAUUUAUUAUCAAGGAAUAGUUCAGACAACGACUUCCGACCACAGAGACAGCAGAACAGAUGGUCCGACAUGGAUAGAGCAUCAGACACUCACAGACUGUGCCAACAAGAGCCAUCGAGUCAAAACCGCCAAAGGAAGGAGGGUCAUGGAAUGGGUUCUCUCACACCAAACUGAUGCCCAGAGGCCCUUGGCAUGAAUAACAAAGGCAACCAGACCCACAAGCCAUACUGAGUGGAUACAAAACCUAUACCUAGGCUGACAUCCCAAAUGUGUGUGGCAAGUUAGAUGAUGAUGGCACAAAAGACAGAACACCUUGCUUCUGGCCAUUGUCAGCUCUUGGAAGAGAGCACACUUUUAGAGGAGCAGCUGCAAGGAGCCUGAGAACAAAACUAGAAAUGUCUGUUAUGAAAGCCUUCGCAGGAAAUUCUGCAAGUGGCAACGUGGGUCAUUCCGUGUGUGUCACUAGAGCUGGCGCAAGCCCAUGGCCAUGGUGAGGCAGUGUUUCCACUGGAACUAAUCUGAUACCUGCACCAGCUCUUGGAACUGUGCAGUGUUCCCACUGCAAACUACGGAUGGGGUAAAAGACUGCUCACCUCCUAUUUCUCAUCUAAUCUCACACACUCUGUUUGAUGAGGCUAUGGAGAAACAGGUCUUCUCAUACACUAAUGGUGGGAGUACAAACAAUUCAAGCCCUGUGCAGGACAAUUAGGCAAUACCUAUCAAAAUUAUACAUGAUUUUUCCUGCUGACCCAGCAAUUCCACUUCUGGGAAUAAUUGACAGAUAUAGGUGCAUAUGUACAAAAUGAUGGAAAGCUCUCUGGUAUGUAUUAGUAAGUGAUAAAACAAGGUGUAAAAUAGUGUAUAUAUGGCUACUACCUUUUGUUUUAAAAAUGGGGGAAAAUGGCGGAGCUUGCGGUGAGCCGAAAUCGUGCCACUGCACUCCAGCCUGGGCGACAGAGCGAGACUCCAUCUCAAAAAAAAAAAAAAAGGGUGGGGUGGGGGGGAAAUAAUAGUACAUAUUCAUAUUUACCUGUAUCUAUAUAAAACACACUAUCAAGGAUUCACAAGAAACUAAUACAAAUGAUCACCUUAUAGAUGGUAUGUAUUGGGGGAUACUGGGGUGAGCAGGGUAUAAGUGGGGCAAGACUUUUCAAUGUAAACUUCUUUUAAAUUUUAUUUUGAUUUUUGAAUAAUGUAAAUUAACUGUCAAAUAAUUAAAUUAAAAAUAACCAAUUUUUUAACAAAACA
Molecule: non-coding RNA, 2325 nt
Filed under: Pan troglodytes (chimpanzee)
Lineage: Eukaryota; Metazoa; Chordata; Mammalia; Primates; Hominidae
Source: RNAcentral